GUGUGCUUGGAAUGUGUGCUAAUUGUUGAAACCAUGUUGAAUCUUGUUGUUGAACUUGGUUAUGUUGAUAUUAUGGACGAACUGGGUUAUAUUGAAUGUGCAUGUUUAAUACUGUUGGACAAACUUAUUGAACUUAUUUUGCACUAUGAGAACUGUAACAUGUUAGUAUGGAUGAUUGAUACAAACAUGUUGGUUGGGAACACUAGAUUAUUCUAUAUGAUUGGUUUGGAUCGAUUGGUUGUUGUUCCCUUUCUAUCUUUUCACUACUUUAUGAGGGCGGAGGACCUUGUUUAGUAAGUUGAAACUUUAUGCCCAUAUACAGGGUUGCUCAUGGUUAAAGGAAAGGUUGGAUAAAUUGGAAUGAGUCUUGAUUGAUGCUUUUAUGAUCACUUACUUAAUUCCAAGAUAAAAACAGUUGUGAACAAAUGUGAAUUGUAUGUCUUAUGUAAUGGUUGAGUCAUAACGGAAUCUCAAUUUGUAAAUCAUGUAAAGUGAAACCGAAUAGCAAUAGCUUUAGACUGUGCACGUCUGAAGUGACGGACAAACAGGAGUUGGGGUUCAUGGUGGUAGCCCAUGGCCUUUUCUGGGACCGGAUUGAUCACCGUGUUCUAUUUUUAUUCAAACGUUCCUCGAUAUCGCAGGUCACUGAGGUUACGGAGUCGCGCCCGUACCUCGUCUUCCUUGGGGAAGACUUUUGGUUGGACAACUCGGUCCAUUGUCUAUUUCAACUAAAAUAAUAUCAUUGUCAUUAAGUCUAGCUUAGCCUAGUCGAGUAUGGUCGUCAAAUUAUUAUGUUUUGUCUGUCCUUACUUAUAUUUAUUAGUAUCAUGUUAGGGUUGUUGGUUUGAUAGUAUCAUGCUAGGAUUGUUGUUGUUUUAGUACGUACAUACCUGUGUGCUUGGAAUGUGUGCUAAUUGUUGAAACCAUGUUGAAUCUUGUUGUUGAACUUGGUUAUGUUGAUAUUAUGGACGAACUGGGUUAUAUUGAAUGUGCAUGUUUAAUACUGUUGGACAAACUUAUUGAACUUAUUUUGCACUAUGAGAACUGUAACAUGUUAGUAUGGAUGAUUGAUACAAACAUGUUGGUUGGGAACACUAGAUUAUUCUAUAUGAUUGGUUUGGAUCGAUUGGUUGUUGUUCCCUUUCUAUCUUUUCACUACUUUAUGAGGGCGGAGGACCUUGUUUAGUAAGUUGAAACUUUAUGCCCAUAUACAGGGUUGCUCAUGGUUAAAGGAAAGGUUGGAUAAAUUGGAAUGAGUCUUGAUUGAUGCUUUUAUGAUCACUUACUUAAUUCCAAGAUAAAAACAGUUGUGAACAAAUGUGAAUUGUAUGUCUUAUGUAAUGGUUGAGUCAUAACGGAAUCUCAAUUUGUAAAUCAUGUAAAGUGAAACCGAAUAGCAAUAGCUUUAGACUGUGCACGUCUGAAGUGACGGACAAACAGGAGUUGGGGUUCAUGGUGGUAGCCCAUGGCCUUUUCUGGGACCGGAUUGAUCACCGUGUUCUAUUUUUAUUCAAACGUUCCUCGAUAUCGCAGGUCACUGAGGUUACGGAGUCGCGCCCGUACCUCGUCUUCCUUGGGGAAGACUUUUGGUUGGACAACUCGGUCCAUUGUCUAUUUCAACUAAAAUAAUAUCAUUGUCAUUAAGUCUAGCUUAGCCUAGUCGAGUAUGGUCGUCAAAUUAUUAUGUUUUGUCUGUCCUUACUUAUAUUUAUUAGUAUCAUGUUAGGGUUGUUGGUUUGAUAGUAUCAUGCUAGGAUUGUUGUUGUUUUAGUACGUACAUACCUGUGUGCUUGGAAUGUGUGCUAAUUGUUGAAACCAUGUUGAAUCUUGUUGUUGAACUUGGUUAUGUUGAUAUUAUGGACGAACUGGGUUAUAUUGAAUGUGCAUGUUUAAUACUGUUGGACAAACUUAUUGAACUUAUUUUGCACUAUGAGAACUGUAACAUGUUAGUAUGGAUGAUUGAUACAAACAUGUUGGUUGGGAACACUAGAUUAUUCUAUAUGAUUGGUUUGGAUCGAUUGGUUGUUGUUCCCUUUCUAUCUUUUCACUACUUUAUGAGGGCGGAGGACCUUGUUUAGUAAGUUGAAACUUUAUGCCCAUAUACAGGGUUGCUCAUGGUUAAAGGAAAGGUUGGAUAAAUUGGAAUGAGUCUUGAUUGAUGCUUUUAUGAUCACUUACUUAAUUCCAAGAUAAAAACAGUUGUGAACAAAUGUGAAUUGUAUGUCUUAUGUAAUGGUUGAGUCAUAACGGAAUCUCAAUUUGUAAAUCAUGUAAAGUGAAACCGAAUAGCAAUAGCUUUAGACUGUGCACGUCUGAAGUGACGGACAAACAGGAGUUGGGGUUCAUGGUGGUAGCCCAUGGCCUUUUCUGGGACCGGAUUGAUCACCGUGUUCUAUUUUUAUUCAAACGUUCCUCGAUAUCGCAGGUCACUGAGGUUACGGAGUCGCGCCCGUACCUCGUCUUCCUUGGGGAAGACUUUUGGUUGGACAACUCGGUCCAUUGUCUAUUUCAACUAAAAUAAUAUCAUUGUCAUUAAGUCUAGCUUAGCCUAGUCGAGUAUGGUCGUCAAAUUAUUAUGUUUUGUCUGUCCUUACUUAUAUUUAUUAGUAUCAUGUUAGGGUUGUUGGUUUGAUAGUAUCAUGCUAGGAUUGUUGUUGUUUUAGUAUGUAGUACUCAGCUUUGCUGAUUACGUGCUUUGUUUGUGUGUGUUGAU
Spinacia oleracea (spinach) is the source of this 2713-nucleotide long non-coding RNA. RefSeq lists it as uncharacterized. NCBI's taxonomy places the organism in Eukaryota, Viridiplantae, Streptophyta, Magnoliopsida, Caryophyllales, Amaranthaceae. The transcript has 3 exons. The record is from RefSeq and is a predicted model, not a curated record.